Potamilus streckersoni is the source of this 74-nucleotide non-coding RNA. The record is from the annotation of a GenBank genome assembly. NCBI's taxonomy places the organism in Eukaryota, Metazoa, Mollusca, Bivalvia, Unionida, Unionidae.
UGCUCUGGUGGCCUAGUGGAUAGAGCGUCCGCCUCAGAUGCGGGAAGUAGUGCGUUAGAUCCCCAGCUGAGUCA